AAGUCGUAACAAGGUUUCCGUAGGUGAACCUGCGGAAGGAUCAUUAUCAUGUAAUUCAGUCAUGCAUGCUGCGUGAGCUGUAGCUAUACACCCACCCUGCGUACGUCCUCCCGUUGCUUCCCGUCCGGUGCCUGCGCCCGGGCGGGAGGGGCCAAACAACCUCCAAAUUUCUUUAGCGUCGAAUCUGUCUGAACGAAUAGAACAAAUGAAAAAGUUAAAACUUUCAGCAACGGAUCUCUUGGUUCUCGCAUCGAUGAAGAACGCAGCGAAAUGCGAUAAGUAGUGUGAAUUGCAGAAUUCAGUGAAUCAUCGAAUCUUUGAACGCACAUUGCGCCUUCUGGUAUUCCGGGAGGCAUGCCUGUUCGAGAGUCAUUGACAACCAUCCCAAAUCCCCCCCUUUCCCUCCUUGAGGGUUUCGGGUGCGAUCUCGGGUUCUGGUGGAUGAGGAAUGAGCUGCCAGGCAGAUCUCCUCCCCUCCGAAAUUCAUGGGCGGUCGCUGGCUUUUAUAGAGAAGAAAACCCCCGCAACGCCUGCGGCGUUUUAAUGUAUGUCGCCCUUGUAACGUUGCGGGACCUUCGGGGCCACGGACGACCAGCCUACCCAACGAAAUAAGAAUAAUCCCCAGUUGUUUUUAUGUAACCUGAAUCAAUGGUUGACCUCGGAUCAGGUAGGGAUACCCGCUGAACUUAA
Molecule: ribosomal RNA, 690 nt
Filed under: uncultured fungus
Lineage: Eukaryota; Fungi
Description: eukaryotic LSU rRNA
Rfam family: 5.8S ribosomal RNA (bases 219-372)
Source: RNAcentral